Molecule: ribosomal RNA, 473 nt
Filed under: Mycobacterium sp. S72
Lineage: Bacteria; Bacillati; Actinomycetota; Actinomycetes; Mycobacteriales; Mycobacteriaceae
Description: bacterial SSU rRNA
Rfam family: Bacterial small subunit ribosomal RNA
Source: RNAcentral
GGUGGUUUGUCGCGUUGUUCGUGAAAACUCACAGCUUAACUGUGGGCGUGCGGGCGAUACGGGCAGACUAGAGUACUGCAGGGGAGACUGGAAUUCCUGGUGUAGCGGUGGAAUGCGCAGAUAUCAGGAGGAACACCGGUGGCGAAGGCGGGUCUCUGGGCAGUAACUGACGCUGAGGAGCGAAAGCGUGGGGAGCGAACAGGAUUAGAUACCCUGGUAGUCCACGCCGUAAACGGUGGGUACUAGGUGUGGGUUUCCUUCCUUGGGAUCCGUGCCGUAGCUAACGCAUUAAGUACCCCGCCUGGGGAGUACGGCCGCAAGGCUAAAACUCAAAGGAAUUGACGGGGGCCCGCACAAGCGGCGGAGCAUGUGGAUUAAUUCGAUGCAACGCGAAGAACCUUACCUGGGUUUGACAUGCACAGGACGACUACAGAGAUGUGGUUUCCCUUGUGGCCUGUGUGCAGGUGGUGCAU